Small nucleolar RNA from Setaria italica (foxtail millet), 139 nucleotides. It matches the Rfam family "Small nucleolar RNA Z247". Rfam says of the family: Z247 is a member of the C/D class of snoRNA which contain the C (UGAUGA) and D (CUGA) box motifs. Most of the members of the box C/D family function in directing site-specific 2'-O-methylation of substrate RNAs. The record is from Rfam. Lineage: Eukaryota; Viridiplantae; Streptophyta; Magnoliopsida; Poales; Poaceae.
CCCAUCAAAGACGAAGAACUCGUCUCCUACAUCCUUGCUGGGCUUGAUAUUGAGUUCAACCCGCUGGUUUCUGCUGUGACGGCUCGGGUGGAGCUGAUCUCGGUUGGAGAGCUAUUCUCACAACUCCUAAGCUUUGAGU